CUGGGGGAGCGGCCGUGGCUGACUGAUUACGGUGUUCGCUUUGUAAGCGUGUAACAGUUGCAAUUGUUAGCAUUUAUUUAUUUAUUUAUUUUGGUUUUUCCGUUCGGCUUUAAAUGUAAUUUGAUCUUCGUUACCACGGUAAUCAAUGUAUUUGAUGUUAGCCCUCACGAUCGUUGGUAACUUUCGUUAUCGGUUUAAGACCUGGAGAGAGAAUCUCGCGGAGGUUGCUCAUAUGUUGAAUCCUUUGGGAAGACGGAAAGGGACGGUCAGAGCCAUUGCCGACCGCUAGAGUGAGACGGGAACUCAGAUCUUUAAAGAUCCGAAGAAGCCCGAGGCAAUCUCCGGGAAACGGCGUGCCAAAAGUACGUCUGGGGCCACCUUCCCCGUUCUGAGGAAGCUAGUACUCGUUCACUUUGUCCCAGACCUUUGUGAAGUGUGGAGUGCGCGGACUUUUAUCCCGGGUUCCCCUGUCCAGUCCUGAGAUCUCGUCGAGUUAGAAUUGUGAGUGUGCGAAAUAGUGAGCCUAGUGCGCGGCCUAGCUAGAGAUCAGGUAAACCGUUACCCCGUGCGAUUAUCCCCGUGCAUGUGCUAAUCCGUUGCGAAGUUCGUUGGCUUCGCUUCCUUUCGCCCUACCAGCAAAGCAGCACCAGUAGGAGAUCGAGCGCGCGUCCACCACCGCCCCGCAUCGAGUGUGGGACAAGUUUUGACCCGGCACACGCUACAUCGCCGGAAGAGACGAGCCGUCAACAUCUCGUCUGGAGGCGGUCCAUCCGCCCACGUGCUGGCCCGGAAAGCCAAGUCCCGGCCCGCGCAACAUCAUCGAAGUCGACCGCGCCCUCGUAGGUCGAACCGGCAGCGUAGUUCGCGCCGCCCGCGCGCACGCGGUGAACAUCAGCAGCAGCAUCAGCAAGUAACAGGAGCAACAGCAGUAGUCCGGUGAGUCCGUUCUUUUUCUGCGGGGAAGGGUGACGGCCACAGAAGGCGUCACGAACGUUUUUUCGUUCCGGCUGCGGCCGUAGAGCGGACGCCAUUUUGAUGGAGGGCGUCCAUUUUGUUUAAGCGCGUGUUGCCAUGCGCCCGGAGUGUGUCGGCCUUUAUUGACACGCCCCACACGUCCACGAAAUCGCACUCUAGUGCCUUUGUCUGCCGCAGUCCGCUUGACUGCCGGUGACGUCAGCGAUCAGCUGUUCCAGCUGACGAGCUGAAGAUUUGAGGUUGAGGAGAGAGCACAAAAGCACGGGGUAACAGAAGAACGAAGAGUAGACAGUAGGGAGAGCAAACGCACACAGUAGGGAGAUGUCUAGACGCUAGAACAGAAACAAUGAAUGAAAUACAAAACCUUAGACUAGUCCAAUAAAAUGAGCACCUCUUUUUGAUUUCCUACCUGAAGUAUUUUGUGUAAUUAUUUGGAGUUAAAUAAAGUCCCUGCAGUUAAAAUGAGCUCACGUGUUAGUUUUUUUGGUCGAUCCGGAGCGCUGCUUCCGUCACUUUAGGGUCCGUUCCCAGUCCUUUCCUCCCCAAUGAAAAAGUUCUGCGUAUUUCCCAUGCUUCGUGAAGUUCCCUGGUGGCGGGUGUCGGUACUACCCAUGAUGAUUCAUACGGGCACGGGGGGUCCUAUACUGGUGGAUUUCUGAGGAGCUUUUUCGGGAGGCUGAGCUUUCCGUACCGUUCUUGUGGGUCACUUUGGUACGCUGGCCGAUUCGAUCUUGCUUCUUCCCUGGGAAGAAGUUCAACCGAGCACCUCUUCGAGAGUCUCAAACCGGGCAAAUUUAACAUGGCGGGCAGUCUCCCUCACGGGAGUGGCGCAUAAGCUGCACCGUUUGCAACCGAUCGAAUCGCGACGGCUACAAGCGAAUGAUCCUGGGUUGAAUGAUCUGCUCCCAACUAGAAAGUAUAGGAAAUAUAAAUCUUGAAACUCUGAACAUAUACGUAAGAUCAAAGUCGCUCAAAUCGAUCCCCCGUCUUUUGGAUCGGUAAGCAAAAAUGCUAACCACUAGGCCAUCGCGACUUGGUGAGCUGUAACUGGAAUUAUGAAUACUGUAACUGUUAACGCCCAGUUAACCAAAUUUGACGAUCAUGUAGAAACACUUUCCGACAACACUGUAGAUUAUGUAACUCCACACACACAAUCACAGUAGCCCUUCGUGUACCUUUAUGUUCAAUGUGUGUAGUCGUUACAAAGCACGAAGUGGUUUGUCUUUUGUAAUGUUUUUGUAGACUUCCCGGUCGCAAAGAACUUGACGAGCUUAAAACUAGACUAGACACUUUCCACAAAACAUUUCUGACCAGAUGGUCGACCGGGACAGUCACCCCUCCUCAGGGGCAAGUUAAGUAAAACCAAUAAAACUUGUAAUAUUCGAACCCCAGUUUACCCACAAUAAAGACUUCCCAAAGUUAUCGCGACUUUUAAGUUCACUUACCGGAUCACUAAGUUUCACCCCCGACACACAGGACCACAUCCGCUACGAUGUGCGUGAACAGUAACUAUCAACUAUAUACGCGCUAAGCCCGCAUAAAGAUUUCUGAUGAACUUACAGUAAAUUUUAACGUUACAAAACGAUAAAAUAUAUUGUCAUUUUGACAGUGUUUUAACAGUA
Molecule: long non-coding RNA, 2597 nt
Organism: Culex quinquefasciatus (southern house mosquito)
Lineage: Eukaryota; Metazoa; Arthropoda; Insecta; Diptera; Culicidae
Exons: 2
Source: RefSeq, a predicted model, not a curated record